UUGACACUAAGGGCGGAGUGACAUAAUUUCAGGAGUGAGGGUUAAGGAGAGGUUUCCCCCUCCCCCUGGUGUUCUUAGUAAGCCUGGAAGCUAAUCACUAAGAGUAUCACCAGUAUGAUGACGUGCUUCAUCAUAACCCUUUCCUUAUU
This 149-nucleotide small RNA is filed under the name Escherichia coli. Its description in RNAcentral is "QUAD RNA". It matches the Rfam family "Short Intergenic Abundant RNA". From Rfam's summary of the family: This family contains multiple ncRNA from E. coli that were identified in a large scale screen of E. coli, were they were called candidates 43,55 and 61. These RNAs have also been identified by other groups and called QUAD RNAs. The record is from RNAcentral. Lineage: Bacteria; Pseudomonadati; Pseudomonadota; Gammaproteobacteria; Enterobacterales; Enterobacteriaceae.